This 300-nucleotide signal recognition particle RNA is filed under the name Callithrix jacchus (white-tufted-ear marmoset). Its description in RNAcentral is "Metazoan signal recognition particle RNA (ENSCJAG00000082215.1)". It matches the Rfam family "Metazoan signal recognition particle RNA". From Rfam's summary of the family: The signal recognition particle (SRP) is a universally conserved ribonucleoprotein. The record is from Rfam by way of RNAcentral. Lineage: Eukaryota; Metazoa; Chordata; Mammalia; Primates; Cebidae.
ACCGGGUGCAGUGGCACGUGCCUGUAGUCCCAGCUACUUGGGAGGCUGAGGUGGUAGCUUCGCUUGAGCCCAGGAGUUCUGGGCUGUAGUGCACUAUGCUGAUCGGGUGUCCGCACUAAGUUUGGCAUCAAUAUGGUGACCUCUCGGGAGCUGGGGACCACCAGGUUGCCUAAGGAGGGGUGAACCGGCCCAGGUCGGAAACGGAGCAGGUCAAAACUCCAGUGCUGAUCAGUAAUGGGAUCACACCUGUGAAUAGCCACUGUACUCCAGCCUGGGCAACAUGGCGAGACCCUGUCUCAA